UUCUCCAAGAAGUGAGAAUAUCUCAAUCCCCUCACCUCACCCCUCUCACAAGGAAGAAAAGCUGGGGAGGGGGAGGGGGGGGGAGAUCAACUUGGAGCUCCUUAAACUUCUUGGAGCACUGUUACAUAAACUGGAAGUAUUAUUCUUCUCCAUUCAAAUGCUGGUUUGGACUAUUAGGGAGAGUUUGCUGGCUUGCUUUGAAGUCUGACCUAUUUCUUUUGCCAGGCGCUUUUUGGAAACUCUCCUUUUGUCAUGGUUUCUCCUUCCCUUUCCCUUUUUUCUCUCCGACUUUAAUGUCACCACAAAAGGCCGCGUGGGUGGGAAGUUGUGGCGCGAGGUAGCUAUCUCCAAUAGGUGCAGCCCUACCGGGCCCUGUGUCUCUUUCCUCUUCCCUGGGGUGUGACAAGGUACAGUGGCGGCUUAGAUCGCAUCCUACCUGAGGAAGGAAAAGGGCACCGUUUCGGCAGUCUCCCUCAUUCUGCGCUAUCAUCUCUAGGGGGGCCGGGAGCUUUGGAGAAUGGAGUCCUGAGCAGAGGCUCUGAACUUCCUUUCAUUCUCCGUCUCCGGGGCUCACAGAUAAUAAAUUCGAGGAAGCUCAUUCAGAAUUACUGUAAAAUAAUGGAAGUCAUCUGAGGCAACAAAGAAAGUGUCCUUCUGAAGAGUCCGGAGAUGUCCUGAUUGGAGUCACCACUGUAAAAUCUCCUGUCAGAACUCAGGGGUUAUUGGGAAGGUUGGACUGAUCUCCUCUUGCUUUCUCUGACCUAAGAGAGUGUCUGGAAGAUGCCCUGACUUUGGGAGGAGACCACAGGCUUGUUAAAGGGCAAAGAGGGUUGGGAAUUUACUGUUAUACUGAAGCAAUAAAAGCAUGCUGUGCAGGGAAGAAAAAGAGGAUGCCAACCUUUAGAAGUCCUGACUGACUGUGCUGGUCUCCAGGCUGCCUGCAAUGGAAAAUUUUUGAGAAGCAUUUAUUUUCGACACUCUGUCCUCACCUGAAGGCAUUUUGGCCUUUUCCAUGACUGAACAUCCACCCAAGGUUUAGAUAUUGGUGAACAUAAAAGGUCAACCAAAGACUGCUUGCUGACUUGGGCAGCUACACCCUGAUAUCAGCAGCAAAAUGGGCCCACACAGGGAAUUCUCCACCUGUAAGACAGUGUCUCUGAGCCCUGUUCCCCAAGAGGGGCCUUCGUUACAGUGACUGCUCUCUUAUUUUUGAAUCCAAUCGAGGCAGUGACAGACUUCAGUGGCAGCUGAAAGACUCAGCCUGGGAGUGAGAAAAUGUGAAUUUGACUCCACCAAGUGUGUCUCUGUGUGCCUCACUUUCUCCAUCUGAAAAUUCUCUCUCCUGUAGCUUUAAUUCAGGAAACAUGUCUGACCCAGACACAGAUGAAUGGAUGAAUGAAAAAUACACUGAAGAUUUUAACUAUGUGCCUGACUCUGCUAGGCAUGGAGAAUAUAAUACAAAAAUAGUCAAUAAGAUGUGCCAGUCAACUUCUGGAAGACAGAAUGAGGCUUAUUAUUUCAUGCAACUUGCAAGUCAAAAUAUCCUUCAUCAUGAUGUCAUUGGUCUUAUUCUAAAAUUAAGGACAAAUAACAUCAGCAAUAAGCAACAACUGCUCCCUUCUAUCAAGACACAGUAUUCAUUGGCUGUUAAAAUGUCUUCAGUGGAACAUGGACCAUAUGGCUUUUUUUCGAACUGGGAAAAACCAAACUCCUGUUCAAAUCCUACUUGAUGAAAGCAGGCUUGUCACUUGGAUUUCCUGGGUAUGCAAAUGGACCAGGGCCCAAGAAGAGCCCUUCAGUGUCUUGUUCCAUGCUACCUUCAUGGUAUAGACACCUCCUAAUGGGAGACAGCCUAAAAAAGGCUCCCAUUUUCCUACUGAAAUAAAGGCCUAGUGCCCCAACUGUAGAGCAGUACAGAGACAUCAA
Molecule: long non-coding RNA, 1926 nt
Organism: Monodelphis domestica (gray short-tailed opossum)
Lineage: Eukaryota; Metazoa; Chordata; Mammalia; Didelphimorphia; Didelphidae
Source: RefSeq, a predicted model, not a curated record